Molecule: non-coding RNA, 307 nt
Organism: Pelobates cultripes (western spadefoot toad)
Lineage: Eukaryota; Metazoa; Chordata; Amphibia; Anura; Pelobatidae
Source: the annotation of a GenBank genome assembly
CUCGCUUAACAUGCGGGGCAUUGUAUUAUCAGGCACAAUUUUAUAAUAACAUAGCAGGUUAAACAUUGUAGCUUCGACUGUAGGUAUAUAAUUAUGCUAUAAGCAAGCUUGGUUUGAGCGUGGGUUAAAGUAGUAGUUCACGUUGGAUACACGCAUACAUUGCUAGGCAGGUAGAUCAUGCACAGUUGUUAUGGUUAAUGUGCUAGGCUAGUGUCAUGUGGUGAUGCUCGUGUUUGGCACUGAAGUGUAGUGUCUAUGUGUGACAAGCUGAGUGAGCGACAGCAUAUAUGACAAGCAUAACUCACAG